This 465-nucleotide ribosomal RNA is filed under the name Vreelandella stevensii. RNAcentral's name for it is "partial 16S ribosomal RNA". It matches the Rfam family "Bacterial small subunit ribosomal RNA", at positions 338 to 795 of the family's 1533-position model. Lineage: Bacteria; Pseudomonadati; Pseudomonadota; Gammaproteobacteria; Oceanospirillales; Halomonadaceae. The record is from RNAcentral.
CCUACGGGAGGCUGCAGUGGGGAAUAUUGGACAAUGGGGGGAACCCUGAUCCAGCCAUGCCGCGUGUGUGAAGAAGGCCCUCGGGUUGUAAAGCACUUUCAGUGAGGAAGAACGCCUGGUGGUUAAUACCCAUCAGGAAAGACAUCACUCACAGAAGAAGCACCGGCUAACUCCGUGCCAGCAGCCGCGGUAAUACGGAGGGUGCGAGCGUUAAUCGGAAUUACUGGGCGUAAAGUGCGCGUAGGUGGCUUGAUAAGCCGGUUGUGAAAGCCCCGGGCUCAACCUGGGAACGGCAUCCGGAACUGUCAAGCUAGAGUGCAGGAGAGGAAGGUAGAAUUCCCGGUGUAGCGGUGAAAUGCGUAGAGAUCGGGAGGAAUACCAGUGGCGAAGGCGGCCUUCUGGACUGACACUGACACUGAGGUGCGAAAGCGUGGGUAGCAAACAGGAUUAGAUACCCGUGUAGUC